GACGAACGCUGGCGGCGUGCUUAACACAUGCAAGUCGAACGGUAAGGCCCUUCGGGGUACACGAGUGGCGAACGGGUGAGUAACACGUGGGUGAUCUGCCCUGCACUUCGGGAUAAGCCUGGGAAACUGGGUCUAAUACCGGAUAGGACUCCUGGCUUCAUGGUUGGGGGUGGAAAGCUUUUGCGGUGUGGGAUGGGCCCGCGGCCUAUCAGCUUGUUGGUGGGGUAAUGGCCUACCAAGGCGACAACGGGUAGCCGGCCUGAGAGGGUGACCGGUCACACCGGGACUGAGAUACGGCCCAGACUCCUACGGGAGGCAGCAGUGGGGAAUAUUGCACAAUGGGCGCAAGCCUGAUGCAGCGACGCCGCGUGAGGGAUGACGGCCUUCGGGUUGUAAACCUCUUUCAGCUAUGACGAAGCGCAAGUGACGGUAGUAGCAGAAGAAGGACCGGCCAACUACGUGCCAGCCGCCGCGGUAA
RNAcentral lists this ribosomal RNA (478 nucleotides) under uncultured bacterium. RNAcentral describes it as "partial 16S ribosomal RNA". It matches the Rfam family "Bacterial small subunit ribosomal RNA", at positions 28 to 523 of the family's 1533-position model. The record is from RNAcentral.